UACGUAGGUGGCAAGCGUUAUCCGGAAUUAUUGGGCGUAAAGCGCGCGUAGGCGGUUUCUUAAGUCUGAUGUGAAAGCCCACGGCUCAACCGUGGAGGGUCAUUGGAAACUGGAAAACUUGAGUGCAGAAGAGGAAAGUGGAAUUCCAUGUGUAGCGGUGAAAUGCGCAGAGAUAUGGAGGAACACCAGUGGCGAAGGCGCCUUUCCGGUCUGUAACUGACGCUGAUGUGCGAAAGCGUGGGGAUCAAACAGG
RNAcentral lists this ribosomal RNA (253 nucleotides) under uncultured bacterium. RNAcentral describes it as "partial 16S ribosomal RNA". It matches the Rfam family "Bacterial small subunit ribosomal RNA", at positions 524 to 776 of the family's 1533-position model. The record is from RNAcentral.